UAGAAAAGGGACUUCUGGAGUGGCACUUG
RNAcentral lists this non-coding RNA (29 nucleotides) under Mus musculus (house mouse). Lineage: Eukaryota; Metazoa; Chordata; Mammalia; Rodentia; Muridae. The record is from RNAcentral.